GCCAGGGUAGCUCAGUGGUAGAGCAGAGGACUCAUAAGCCUUUGGUCGGAAGUUCAAAUCUUCUCCCUGGCACCA
RNAcentral lists this transfer RNA (75 nucleotides) under Opitutales bacterium. RNAcentral's name for it is "tRNA-Met". It matches the Rfam family "tRNA". From Rfam's summary of the family: Transfer RNA (tRNA) molecules are approximately 80 nucleotides in length. Their secondary structure includes four short double-helical elements and three loops (D, anti-codon, and T loops). Further hydrogen bonds mediate the characteristic L-shaped molecular structure. tRNAs have two regions of fundamental functional importance: the anti-codon, which is responsible for specific mRNA codon recognition, and the 3' end, to which the tRNAs corresponding amino acid is attached (by aminoacyl-tRNA synthetases). tRNAs cope with the degeneracy of the genetic code in two manners: having more than one tRNA (with a specific anti-codon) for a particular amino acid; and 'wobble' base-pairing, i.e. permitting non-standard base-pairing at the 3rd anti-codon position. RNAcentral also lists the same sequence under 1 other name. The record is from RNAcentral. Lineage: Bacteria; Pseudomonadati; Verrucomicrobiota; Opitutia; Opitutales.